GGUGGUCACAGCGACAGGGAAACGCCCGGCCCCAUCCCGAACCCGGAAGCUAAGCCUGACAGCGCCGAUGGUACUG
RNAcentral lists this ribosomal RNA (76 nucleotides) under Actinomyces naeslundii. Lineage: Bacteria; Bacillati; Actinomycetota; Actinomycetes; Actinomycetales; Actinomycetaceae. The record is from RNAcentral. RNAcentral also lists the same sequence under 1 other name.